This 200-nucleotide ribosomal RNA is filed under the name uncultured bacterium. RNAcentral describes it as "partial 16S ribosomal RNA". It matches the Rfam family "Bacterial small subunit ribosomal RNA", at positions 29 to 258 of the family's 1533-position model. The record is from RNAcentral.
AACGAACGCUGGCGGCAGGCUUAACACAUGCAAGUCGAACGCCCCGCAAGGGGAGUGGCAGACGGGUGAGUAACGCGUGGGAAUCUACCUAGUUCUACGGAACAACAGUUGGAAACGACUGCUAAUACCGUAUACGCCCUACGGGGGAAAGAUUUAUCGGAAUUAGAUGAGCCCGCGUAAGAUUAGCUAGAUGGUGAGGU